This 625-nucleotide long non-coding RNA is filed under the name Pan troglodytes (chimpanzee). RNAcentral's name for it is "long non-coding RNA NONPTRT007692". The record is from RNAcentral. Lineage: Eukaryota; Metazoa; Chordata; Mammalia; Primates; Hominidae.
AUUUAUCUUCAGAAGACAAGCAGAUGAGGAGACAAAACCUACUGAUGUGGGUACCCAAGCAGGAACCCCCCUCUUGCACCGGCGACUCACGUGGGAAGAAGAAUUCACUGAGCUGAAAUGGAGUGAGAGCUAAGAUGCUCUCAGAAUAUUCUUAAAAUGACUGUGCUGCAAAGAAGCCUGGGUGAAUAGAAGAAAAUAAAAGGAAUGGUGGAUACAAGUGAAGGUUAAAAUGAGACCCCAUUUAUCGCACCAGCUGUUGGUGAUUUCAGCGCUCCUUUCCAAGCCUCUUGAGAGUUCUGCUCUAACCACACUGCCCCCUAGUGUUCUCUCGCUUUGGUGCAACUGCAGGUUUCUCAUACUUCUGGAGAAAUAGAAAGCACCAGAUGACAGCCACCACACACUUUUGUCCCCAUUGCAAUAGGAUGCUUCUAACAAUCGUAAAAUUAUGAAACACUGAAUUCCUUAAAAGUUGUCCAUUUGUGGAUUUAUCUGAUGGUAACUAUUAAAUAUUUAAAAGUAACUUUAAUGAAUCUACUUAUGAUGAUUGUCUGAGUAAUCUAUUCUCUGAAUUCCACCAAAAAACCAUUUUAUGACCACAGUCAUAACGAACAUAUUUCUAUAGUCC